UACAGAGGUGGCAAGCGUUGUUCGGAAUUACUGGGCGUAAAGGGCGCGUAGGCGGUUCGUUAAGUCCGGUGUGAAAUCCCCCGGCUCAACUGCGGGCUUGCAGCCGAUACGGGCAGGCUAGAGUUCGGUAGGGGAGACUGGAAUUCCUGGUGUAGCGGUGAAAUGCGCAGAUAUCAGGAGGAACACCGGUGGCGAAGGCGGGUCUCUGGGCCGAUACUGACGCUGAGGAGCGAAAGCGUGGGGAGCGAACAGG
Molecule: ribosomal RNA, 253 nt
Filed under: uncultured bacterium
Lineage: Bacteria
Description: partial 16S ribosomal RNA
Rfam family: Bacterial small subunit ribosomal RNA
Source: RNAcentral